AACGAACGCUGGCGGCAUGCCUAACACAUGCAAGUCGAACGAGACCUUCGGGUCUAGUGGCGCACGGGUGCGUAACGCGUGGGAACCUGCCCUUAGGUUCGGAAUAACUCCCCGAAAGGGGUGCUAAUACCGGAUAAUGUCUUCGGACCAAAGAUUUAUCGCCUUUGGAUGGGCCCGCGUUGGAUUAGCUAGUUGGUAGGGUAAAAGCCUACCAAGGCGACGAUCCAUAGCUGGUCUGAGAGGAUGAUAAGCGACACUGGGACUGAGACACGGCCCAGACUCAUGCGGGAGGGAGCAGUGGGGGAUAGUGGAGAAGGGGGGGAAGCCUGAUCAAGCAAUGCCGCGUGAGUGAUGAAGGCCGUAGGAUUGUAAAGCUCUUUUACCCGGGAUGAUAAUGACAGUACCGGGAGAAUAAGCGCCGGCUAACUCCGUG
This 433-nucleotide ribosomal RNA is filed under the name uncultured bacterium. RNAcentral's name for it is "partial 16S ribosomal RNA". It matches the Rfam family "Bacterial small subunit ribosomal RNA", at positions 29 to 507 of the family's 1533-position model. The record is from RNAcentral.